CCUACGGGAGGCAGCAGUGAGGAAUAUUGGACAAUGGGCGCAAGCCUGAUCCAGCCAUGCCGAGUGCAGGAUGACGGUCCUAUGGAUUGUAAACUGCUUUUAUACAGGAAGAAACANUCCUUCGUGAAGGAGUGACGGUACCGUAAGAAUAAGGUCG
Molecule: ribosomal RNA, 157 nt
Filed under: uncultured bacterium WB11
Lineage: Bacteria
Description: partial 16S ribosomal RNA
Rfam family: Bacterial small subunit ribosomal RNA
Source: RNAcentral